AAAGUCAAAAAUUUCAUCCGAGGUUGGUUCUUCAUUUUGAAGAUGCCAGAUCCUGCGAAAUCUACCCCUGCUCCUAAAAAGGGCUCUAAAAAAGCUGUUACAAAGGUUCAGAAGAAAGAUGGCAAGAAGCGCAAGCGGAGCCGCAAGGAGAGUUACUCCGUUUAUGUGUACAAGGUACUGAAGCAGGUCCAUCCAGACACCGGUAUUUCUUCAAAGGCAAUGGGUAUCAUGAACUCAUUUGUUAACGACAUCUUCGAGCGUAUAGCUGGUGAAGCCUCCCGGCUGGCGCAUUACAACAAACGCUCCACCAUCACAUCUCGGGAGAUCCAGACGGCAGUGCGCCUGCUAUUACCUGGGGAGCUGGCCAAGCAUGCCGUGUCGGAGGGCACCAAGGCGGUCACCAAGUACACCAGUUCUAACUGCAGGUAGACCAAAAACUAAAUCCUGUGGCUCAGUGAGUAGGGCACCGGCCCUAUAUAUCAAGGGUGGUGGGUUCAAACCCAGCCCCAGCGAAACUGCAACAAAAAAAUAGCUGGACAUUGUGGUGGGCAUCUGUAGUCCCAAGAGCUGGAGGUUGCUGUGAGCUGCGACGCCGCAGCACUCUACCCAGGGCAACAAAGUGUGAAAGAUCUAAAGUGAUCAGUGCAUUUGUGUCUAUGUCGGAAGCAAAGUGGAUUUGGUUAUUUCGACAAUGAUA
This is an RNA transcript of Nycticebus coucang (slow loris), 697 nucleotides long. It is a transcript of the gene named histone H2B type 2-F, with no coding region annotated. The transcript has 3 exons. The record is from RefSeq and is a predicted model, not a curated record. Lineage: Eukaryota; Metazoa; Chordata; Mammalia; Primates; Lorisidae.